This is a small nucleolar RNA of Acomys russatus (golden spiny mouse), 147 nucleotides long. RefSeq annotates it as small nucleolar RNA SNORA48. NCBI's taxonomy places the organism in Eukaryota, Metazoa, Chordata, Mammalia, Rodentia, Muridae. The record is from RefSeq and is a predicted model, not a curated record. The transcript has a single exon.
AGCCCCUGGCAACGGGAAAAGAAACACCUUGGUGUUGGUGGUGUUGUUCUUGUAUCGGUGAGGGGCAGAGCAGAUGGCAGUCCUUUGUUCAUCCUAGCUUGAUGGGUAGCUUGAUGGCCGAAGUCCUUGUAUGCCUAGGUCUCAUAA